AUUGAACGCUGGCGGAAUGCUUUACACAUGCAAGUCGAGCGGCAGCGCGGGGGCAACCCUGGCGGCGAGCGGCGAACGGGUGAGUAACACAUCGGAACGUCCCCAGUUGUGGGGGAUAGCCCGGCGAAAGCCGGAUUAAUACCGCAUACGACCUGCGGGUGAAAGGGGGGGAUCGCAAGACCUCUCGCAGUUGGAGCGGCCGAUGGCGGAUUAGCUAGUUGGUGAGGUAAAGGCUCACCAAGGCGACGAUCCGUAGCUGGUCUGAGAGGACGACCAGCCAAACUGGAACUGAGACACGGUCCAGACUCCUACGGGAGGCAGCAGUGGGGAAUUUUGGACAAUGGGGGCAACCCUGAUCCAGCCAUUCCGCGUGAGUGAAGAAGGCCUUCGGGUUGUAAAGCUCUUUCGGCAGGAACGAAACGGUGGAGGCUAAUACCUUUCAUCAAUGACGGUACCUGAAGAAGAAGCACCGGCUAACUACGUGCCAGCAGCCGCCGUAA
Molecule: ribosomal RNA, 500 nt
Filed under: uncultured bacterium
Lineage: Bacteria
Description: partial 16S ribosomal RNA
Rfam family: Bacterial small subunit ribosomal RNA
Source: RNAcentral